This is a long non-coding RNA of Alosa alosa (allis shad), 314 nucleotides long. RefSeq lists it as uncharacterized. Lineage: Eukaryota; Metazoa; Chordata; Actinopteri; Clupeiformes; Clupeidae. The record is from RefSeq and is a predicted model, not a curated record. The transcript has 3 exons.
CCAUGGGGCAGGACCGCAACACUCCUCACCACCUCAACUCCCUGCACCUGCAUUUAACAUACGGAGAGUUACUCAAGGAACGGCAGUCUCUCCUCAACUCCCUCCACCCCCACACCAGCCCUCAACGUGCAGCGAACAGAGGAGCUUUGUGCUGUGAGGAAAAACAUGGUGACACGGUCUGCCACGGACACUGAGGUCACCAAACACGCAAUCAGGUGUUUCAACCGGCGGUGGAUCGGGCAACGAGGAGAUGUGUUCCGCCUCCAUCCACACAAAUGGAGUAAUAGGAGAAAUAAGCAUUAAACAAUCUUUUU